Molecule: transfer RNA, 72 nt
Filed under: Acidibacillus sp.
Lineage: Bacteria; Bacillati; Bacillota; Bacilli; Caryophanales; Alicyclobacillaceae
Description: tRNA-Glu
Rfam family: tRNA
About the family: Transfer RNA (tRNA) molecules are approximately 80 nucleotides in length. Their secondary structure includes four short double-helical elements and three loops (D, anti-codon, and T loops). Further hydrogen bonds mediate the characteristic L-shaped molecular structure. tRNAs have two regions of fundamental functional importance: the anti-codon, which is responsible for specific mRNA codon recognition, and the 3' end, to which the tRNAs corresponding amino acid is attached (by aminoacyl-tRNA synthetases). tRNAs cope with the degeneracy of the genetic code in two manners: having more than one tRNA (with a specific anti-codon) for a particular amino acid; and 'wobble' base-pairing, i.e. permitting non-standard base-pairing at the 3rd anti-codon position.
Source: RNAcentral
GGCCCCAUGGUCAAGCGGUUAAGACACCACCCUUUCACGGUGGGAACAGGGGUUCGAAUCCCCUUGGGGUCA